UCUAAGUAUAUGUAUUAGAGUCCAAUCGAUUUAAUUUGAUUAGUAAAACCUAAUUUAUUAUUUUCACCUUAGUCGCAUACUAAGAUAAAAAGACGGUUUGAUCAAUUCUAAGCAUAUAUUUAGAGUUUGAUCGAGUUUGAAUAUGGUUGUGAUUUGACUCUAGUUUUAUAUGCUAGAGAAUUUUUAAGGACUUGGUAUGGAGAAGAGGUUGGAUUAGGUUGUGCAUGAUUUGAAUUGGGUUAAAUUGGAAUUUUGAUUUGUUUUGGGUUUGAGGUUAGGUUUGGGCUUUGAUUUGGUUUUUAUGGUGUAGGGUUCAUAUAAGG
RNAcentral lists this long non-coding RNA (323 nucleotides) under Ananas comosus (pineapple). Its description in RNAcentral is "long non-coding RNA (ACOM_LNC038016)". The record is from RNAcentral. Lineage: Eukaryota; Viridiplantae; Streptophyta; Magnoliopsida; Poales; Bromeliaceae.